Molecule: small nuclear RNA, 107 nt
Filed under: Prolemur simus (greater bamboo lemur)
Lineage: Eukaryota; Metazoa; Chordata; Mammalia; Primates; Lemuridae
Source: RNAcentral
GUGCUCGUUUUGGCAGCACAUACACUAAAAUUGGAACGAUACAGAGAAGAUUCGCAUGGCCCCUGCACAAGGAUGACAUGCAAAUUCAUGAAGCGUUCCAUAAUUUU